UGCGUAGGCGGUGAUGUUAGUCAGGUGUUAAAUCCUUGGCUCAACCCAAGGCCCGCAUCUGAAACGGCAUUACUAGAAGAGGUCAGAGGUAAGCAGAACUCUCGGUGUAGGGGUGAAAUCCGUUGAUAUCGAGGGGAAUACCAAAUGCGAAGGCAGCUUACUGGGACUUUCUUGACGCUGAGGCACGAAAGCGUGGGUAGCGAACG
Molecule: ribosomal RNA, 206 nt
Filed under: uncultured bacterium
Lineage: Bacteria
Description: partial 16S ribosomal RNA
Rfam family: Bacterial small subunit ribosomal RNA
Source: RNAcentral